RNAcentral lists this ribosomal RNA (253 nucleotides) under uncultured bacterium. Its description in RNAcentral is "partial 16S ribosomal RNA". It matches the Rfam family "Bacterial small subunit ribosomal RNA", at positions 524 to 776 of the family's 1533-position model. The record is from RNAcentral.
UACGUAGGGACCAAGCGUUGUUCGGAUUUACUGGGCGUAAAGGGCGCGUAGGCGGCGUGGUAAGUCACUUGUGAGAUCUCUGAGCUUAACUCAGAACGGCCAAGUGAUACUGCUGUGCUAGAGUGCAGAAGGGGCAAUCGGAAUUCUUGGUGUAGCGGUGAAAUGCGUAGAUAUCAAGAGGAACACCUGAGGUGAAGACGGGUUGCUGGGCUGACACUGACGCUGAGGCGCGAAAGCCAGGGGAGCGAACGGG